This 268-nucleotide long non-coding RNA is filed under the name Mytilus galloprovincialis (Mediterranean mussel). Lineage: Eukaryota; Metazoa; Mollusca; Bivalvia; Mytilida; Mytilidae. The record is from RNAcentral.
GGGCAUGUUGUUUGGCAAUCAGUGAUUAAUGGGCCAGAUUUUUAAACAAGAUACUCUAAUGAUGAUUGUGGCCAAGUUUGGUUAAAUUUGACCUAGUAGUUCCAUAGGAGAACAUGUUUGUAAAAGUUAACAGACGAAGACGGAAAAAAGCUGCCGAGAUGAGAAAAGCCCACUUGACUCCCUUGGCUAGGAGAGCUAAAAAUCGACAAAGAAAAGAAAAAUAACAGUGCUUUGACAGGAGAAGCGUUUCCUGCCAAAGAGGGAUCAC